GGUGAGAUGGCCGAGCGGUCUAAGGCGCCAGACUAAGGAUCAGCACACUCGGUGUGCAGUAUAUCUGGUCCUCCGGGGCGUGGGUUCGAAUCCCACUCUCAUCA
RNAcentral lists this transfer RNA (104 nucleotides) under Marasmius tenuissimus. Its description in RNAcentral is "tRNA-Leu". It matches the Rfam family "tRNA". Rfam says of the family: Transfer RNA (tRNA) molecules are approximately 80 nucleotides in length. Their secondary structure includes four short double-helical elements and three loops (D, anti-codon, and T loops). Lineage: Eukaryota; Fungi; Basidiomycota; Agaricomycetes; Agaricales; Marasmiaceae. RNAcentral also lists the same sequence under 1 other name. The record is from RNAcentral.